Molecule: ribosomal RNA, 302 nt
Filed under: uncultured bacterium
Lineage: Bacteria
Description: partial 16S ribosomal RNA
Rfam family: Bacterial small subunit ribosomal RNA
Source: RNAcentral
GCAGCCGCCGCGGUAAUACGAAGGGGGCUAGCGUUGUUCGGAAUUACUGGGCGUAAAGCGCACGUAGGCGGAUCGAUCAGUCAGGGGUGAAAUCCCAGGGCUCAACCCUGGAACUGCCUUUGAUACUGUCGAUCUGGAGUAUGGAAGAGGUGAGUGGAAUUCCGAGUGUAGAGGUGAAAUUCGUAGAUAUUCGGAGGAACACCAGUGGCGAAGGCGGCUCACUGGUCCAUUACUGACGCUGAGGUGCGAAAGCGUGGGGAGCAAACAGGAUUAGAUACCCGAGUAGUCCCUGUCUCUUAUAC